UACGAAGGGGGCUAGCGUUGCUCGGAAUCACUGGGCGUAAAGGGUGCGUAGGCGGGUCUUUAAGUCAGGGGUGAAAUCCUGGAGCUCAACUCCAGAACUGCCUUUGAUACUGAGGAUCUUGAGUUCGGGAGAGGUGAGUGGAACUGCGAGUGUAGAGGUGAAAUUCGAAGAUAUUCGCAAGAACACCAGUGGCGAAGGCGGCUCACUGGCCCGAUACUGACGCUGAGGUGCGAAAGCGUGGGGAGCAAACAGG
This 253-nucleotide ribosomal RNA is filed under the name uncultured bacterium. Its description in RNAcentral is "partial 16S ribosomal RNA". It matches the Rfam family "Bacterial small subunit ribosomal RNA", at positions 524 to 776 of the family's 1533-position model. The record is from RNAcentral.